UGUGCACGUGCACAUGUGAGAACAUGUCUCCGUGUUCAGCCAUGUGGAGGCUGGGGAUUGAUGUCAGCUGGCUUCCUUAGAUGCUAUCCAUGUUUACUCUGUUGUGUGUGUGUGUGUGUGUGUGCACGUGUACAUGUGAGAACAUGUCUCCAUGUUCAGCCAUGUGGAGGCUGGGGAUUGACGGCAGCUGGCUUCCUUAGAUCCUCUCUAAGGAAGAGGAUCAUUGCUUACACUGUCCAAGACCAUCCUUAGGGAUAUAGUGAAGUUAGCUUGUUUCAAAAGAAACUGUAAUUUAGGUAUAUGAAUAAGGAUCUCUAUUCAAAUUUAAACACUGUUUUAAAAAGUCUAAGGUGAGAUUUUGACAGAUGGUAAAAAGAGCAGUCGCCUUAGAUACGCAAUAACUGACUCUUCCACGAAAUGCUCUGAAAUGCCUGCCAAAAGCAUCUCAAACCACUCCUAAGUUUUCUAAGCUUAAAUCCCAGCUUCUUCAAGAGACAUAUGCAAUAUUUUUUUGCCUUUUUUCUUUUUGAAUAGAUUCGAUUUUUUAAGAGCAGUUUUUGGUUUGGUUUAUAGCGAUUCUGAGGGAAGAGUACACAGUUUCCGUGUAUACCCGCCCCAUCUCUCCAACCAUAACUGUCCUGAAACAGGGUUGUAUAAUCUGCUGGAAUAGAGUAACUUACAUCUACCUGAGGAUCCAACCCAGGACCGUGGACAGAGGGUUUGACAUCAUACAUCCUUGGGGUUGAGCGGAAUAUAAGGAGCAUGUUUCCAUUGUCAUGGUAGUGUCAUAGAGUGCUUGCCCUCCCCACUCCCUCCGCACUGAUAACCGACAACCACUGAUGGAUUUUAUCGUCUUGUGACAUUAUUAUCGGAGACAGCCUCUCAAGGAUCUCUGGCUGGUCUCAAAUGUGCUGUGUAGCUGAGGGCAGACGGCCUUGAACUUCUGAUCCUCUUGCCUCCGUUUCCCAGGUGCUGGGAUUCCAUGCACCUACACGCUCAGUUUUAAGCACUGUGGGACAUGGGUCAGUCUCAGGUCCCUCACUGGGACCCAGAUGUAGGCUAGGCUGGCUAGCCAGUGAGCCGCAGGGAUCUCCCUGUCUCUACCUUCCCCACACUGGGGUUCCAGGGGUGUGCCCUUACACCCAACAUUUCUGUGGGUGCUGGGGUUUAAACUCAAGCCUCGAUGCUUGCAUAUCAAGCUCUCUACUGACUGAGCCCUCCCCACAGCCCCGAUUGCUUUGAGAUAGGGUCUCCUGUAUCCCGAGCUGAUGUGCCCUGCUGAGGGUGUCUCCGGCUUCCCUCUCCCAGGUGCUUUGAUUAUGGUUGAGCACCACCACAGAGCGAAUCCUUCUAUAUUUUGGAUUCCAGCAGAGGAUGAAAGGAUAAUGGCUCAUCAGGUGUGUGGAUGUGGUCGUGCCAUUUUACGGGUGACACCCCCCCCCAGCCGUCUAUCGAGUAGUUCCUGUUUCAUCUUCAAGUCACAGGGGAGACAGGAGGGACGUCGAAAUAGGAGAAGAUAGAAAGAACAUAAAGAAUUCCAGACACGCUGGGCGGUGGUGGCGCAUGCUUUUAAUCCCAGCACUCAGGAGGCAGAGGCAGGUGGAUCUCUGUGAGUUCGAGACCAGCCUGGUCUACAAGAACUAGCUCCAGGACAGGCUCCAAAGCUAGUCUCCAUAAACCAAAAAAACAAAAAACAAAACAAAACAAAAAAACCAGACGCUCAUUCCCUUUUCUCCCAGACUCAUUUGUGGAGAGCGUGGUUGGUGGACCCUCUAAUUCAAAAGAAGCUGGAGCAGUGAUUCUCAACCUUCCUAAUGCUGCCCUGCGACCAUUUAGUGCAGUCCCCCGCCAUAAAGUUAUUUUCGUUACUACUUUAUAACUGUAAUUUUACUGCUGUUAUGAAUCGUAAUGCAAGUAUCUGUGUUUUCUGUUGGUCUCUGGCGAACCCUGUGAAGGGGUUGUUCGACUUCAAAAGGGUAGGUUGAAAAGUGCUGAACAAGAGGUCCCCCCCCC
Molecule: non-coding RNA, 2013 nt
Organism: Myodes glareolus (Bank vole)
Lineage: Eukaryota; Metazoa; Chordata; Mammalia; Rodentia; Cricetidae
Source: RefSeq, a predicted model, not a curated record